RNAcentral lists this microRNA precursor (68 nucleotides) under Bombyx mori (domestic silkworm). RNAcentral's name for it is "mir-2774 microRNA precursor family". It matches the Rfam family "mir-2774 microRNA precursor family". The record is from Rfam by way of RNAcentral. Lineage: Eukaryota; Metazoa; Arthropoda; Insecta; Lepidoptera; Bombycidae.
AUGACAUUCGGACCGUCGGUCUACCGACCAAAUAUCACCCGUUUGGUGGAAGAUCUUCCUUUCGUCGU